CAUAAAUACAGGUCAGCAGUAAACUUCAGCCACAGCCACUCCUUCUGGGGCCACCUGUGUGAGUUUACACUAAGCAAAGGAUUGUCCUCAUCUACCUUCACAACCCUCUGUUUGCCAUCACCUUGAAGUACAAGAUUGGUUUGUACUUGUGUAUGCAGGGACAUGCAUUAUUUUGCAGGAAUACUUCGUGUGCACAUAGGCCUGGACCCAUGAGUGUGUGUACGCGUGUCGAGGUCCAGUCAGGCCCCCAUGGGAAGGAACAUAUGGAAAGCAGCAUCACUCUAGAUCUGAGAAAAAUAUGAAUAAGAACAGGAUCUUUCCCAACCUGUAGAAAUAAAAUGCAGCCAUGUGGAUCCCAACAUAAAAACAAGUGUCAACAUGUCUGAAAUACUGUGCCUGUCAUAAAUGAAGCUCACAAGCAAGUUUGUUUUUGUCUUCACGGCACAAAAGUUGCAGACGUUCAUAAAUGGGCUGACAGAAAAGUCAGCAAGGAGAGAAGCUGGCUAUCCUCUAAAUGAAUUAGGGUUGGUUGAUUUUCAUUUUAUUUAUUUACUUGAUUAUUUUAUCACACUGACAACCAAUAUCAGAUAUUUUUGAUUCCUCUUGCUUAGUUCUAGCUGAAUCUCUCAGAAGGAAAUAGUAGGAUUCCUGGUCUAACACACCAGUUGGACACACAGGUAUGAACAUCAUGGCAUUAGCAUGUCCUCUUCCUUUUCACAGACUUAAAAUUAUUUGACACGUCAAGUUAGAAAAUACCUUAAACCAAUCAGCACCUCCAUUUUUUUCAGUCACUGAGACUAUUUCCAAAAGCAGGGAGGUUUAGCCACAUAAUCCUGAAUUGAAAUAAGCCAAGUGACUUAAUUGCCUUGAAGACAGUGAGAACAUCCAACUGGAGUCUUUUCCCCACACCUUCCACAACUUCCUUGUAGUUUAUAUUAUGUUGUUGCAAAUAUGGCAAUAUUAAGUCCUUCUCAAAGAACCUUUUCAGCUUUCUUCUCUGUUGCACUACAUGAUCAACACCAAGCAUGCUGAACACACGCUUUAGUGAUUGCCACAGCAAUAAUUCAGAGAACCAGUUUUCCUUUCAAAAAACUUCAGAAUAGCAAAGGUUUGUGGAGGGAAGCUAUCAGGAUGCUGGAAAGCACUAACACAAUUUAUUAGACAAACCCUGUGUGGAUGCAAUGGCAGCUCUGCUAUCAAAGGCAAAAACCUUCAGGCAUUUUACAUCCCAUAAUCCCAAUGAAAGCCUGUUUUUGCAGAUACCCUGCAGUUUAUGAAUCACUGGCUGUAGUAUACAAAAUCCCUUAUUUAAGUAAUUAUGGUACAAUGCAUAAAUCUGCACGGUGGCUGACGUUAUAUAAAAAGUUCCAAGUCAGUUUCAAAACUACAACCGAAAUAAAAUAAAAACCCCAACUGGAAACAACUGCCUUGCAGUAAAUGCAUUUUGUGAGCUGGGGGCAUGCUCUGAUACAAUUAUAUUAGAUCUGUCCUGGAGACUGGAUGAGGUCUAGCAAUAUAGAAACCCAAGUGAAGCAUGGGCAGAGAAUGGCUCCUCUGCCCAAGUGAAAUCCAUUUGUUUUCACUUGGGCUUCAGUGCACAGUUUUGAAGUUGAACAUGGGAAGAUCUCAAACCUUAGCCGUGGCCUUAGCCAUGCAUUGCCCUAGUAAGGGGAUUGGCUUCUAUUUCUUCAGCAGAAUGAACCAAAAGCCUGGUAUUUCAGAAAAUUACCUAAUUUCUACCAGAUUAUAUGUAGGCCCUCUGUGUACUCUGUCCUGAUUUAUCUCCAUGCCUAGGUAGUUCAGCCUCUACGUUCAGACCUGGAAAAAAAUAGGCUUUCUUUCACAAAAAGCCAUUAUUUGCCCAACUUCAGCUUCAUCUACAGACUGCAUAUUUCACCAGAGCUUGUACCCUUCAGUUGGUACAUAGAUUAGACUUAAAGUGACAGACAGGUGGUAUUUGGCCAAGUCAGUUCCAGAUCAGACCAAGUGUCA
Molecule: long non-coding RNA, 1992 nt
Organism: Tympanuchus pallidicinctus (lesser prairie-chicken)
Lineage: Eukaryota; Metazoa; Chordata; Aves; Galliformes; Phasianidae
Exons: 3
Source: RefSeq, a predicted model, not a curated record